Molecule: small RNA, 415 nt
Filed under: Rattus norvegicus (Norway rat)
Lineage: Eukaryota; Metazoa; Chordata; Mammalia; Rodentia; Muridae
Description: uncharacterized LOC102547621
Source: RNAcentral
CGGAAGGGGAGGAACCAGGUUUCCGUCAGAGGAGGUAUCCCAUGGCAACCAGGUUGGAGGCCAGGAUGGCUCAUGUUUUCUUCCCACUGGAGCCAAAGCAAAGAGUCCAAGGUCCUAGGCACAGAAAUGGUCUUCCCACCCCAACUAGACAUCAAUCACAGCCCUCUGGCCCUCAGUUCAAGUACUACUGAACAGGCCCACGUGGGCUUCAGCCCUGGCUCGCUGCUUCCGGCUUUUGUGGAUUUGAGAGGUCGCGCCCCUUCACCAUCCCAUAAUUUCCUUAUAAGUAAAAUGGCAGGAAUGAUACCUACCUCAUGGGUUAUUUGAGGACGCAAUGAUAUAACGCAGAUGAAGGCCUGGACUUGGAGACUGUUAUAUGCUCACCGCGUGAAAGUAGUGGUUAGACCUUCAGAUC